CUUGUCUUUUAAUUGAGGACUAGAAUGAAAGGUUUGACUAUGUAAUUUUGUCUUAUAAUAAUAUUUUGAAAUUAAUUUUUUAGUUAAAAAGCUAAAAUUAAUUUUAAAGACAAGAAGACCCUAUUAAGCUUUACAAUUUUAUAUUAUUUUCAAACUAAUAAAAUAAUUGUUCUGCUGGGGCAGCAAAUAAAUAAAUAUUAUUUAUAUAUUGUGAUAAAUAAAUCUAGAAAAAUCAAUAAUUUAUUAAAUAAUAACAAGUUACUAUAGGGAUAACAGCAUAAUUUUUUUAAAGAGUUCUCAUCAACAAAAAAGUUUGUGACCUCGAUGUUGGAUUAAGAAUCCUAUUUUGCGCAAUAGUAAAAAAAGGAAGUCUGUUCGACUUUUAAAUUCUUCCA
Molecule: ribosomal RNA, 395 nt
Filed under: Paruroctonus boreus
Lineage: Eukaryota; Metazoa; Arthropoda; Arachnida; Scorpiones; Vaejovidae
Description: partial 16S ribosomal RNA
Rfam family: Bacterial large subunit ribosomal RNA (bases 269-395)
Source: RNAcentral